AAUGAACGUUGGCGGCAUGGAUUAGGCGUGCAAGUCGAGCGCGAAGAGUCUUUUGCUUGCAUUUGACUCUGAAAGCGGCGUAAGGGUGAGUAACGCGUAGUUACCUACCUCCGGGUCCGGAAUAGCUGCGGGAAACUGCAGGUAAUGCCGGAUAACAUCUCAGGAUCAAAGGUGAGAUUCCGCCCGGAGAGGGGACUGCGUCCUACUAGCUUGUUGGUGGGGUAAUGGCCUACCAAGGCUUCGAUGGGUAGCGGGCGUGAGAGCGUGGCCCGUCACACUGGGACUGAGACACUGCCCAGACACCUACGGGUGGCUGCAGUCGAGAAUCUUCGGCAAUGGGCGAAGGCCUGACCGAGCAAUGCCGCGUGCGGGAUGAAGGCCCUCGGGUUGUAAACCGCGAAAGUAAGGAGGAAGGACCUGCGAAGAGCAGGUUUUGACCGAUCUACAGUAAGGACGGGCUAAGUUCGUGC
Molecule: ribosomal RNA, 470 nt
Filed under: uncultured bacterium
Lineage: Bacteria
Description: partial 16S ribosomal RNA
Rfam family: Bacterial small subunit ribosomal RNA
Source: RNAcentral